CAGGAUUAUACUAUCAAAUGGUCAAUUUUAAAACACGCUAUUUCGUACACAGGGGGAUCAAAACGCUGCAAUUUAUGUUUGGAAGAAAAAUUUUGCAUUUUGAAAGACAUAAACAAAGACAAUUUACUCAAUAAAAGAAGCGAAACACAAAAAACGGUUUCGAGUAAACAAGGUCGUUAACAAAACCUAAUGACCCAAGCAUGCAUUGUUUCACCUAAGCAUUGUUUCGCC
Molecule: non-coding RNA, 231 nt
Organism: Paramuricea clavata
Lineage: Eukaryota; Metazoa; Cnidaria; Anthozoa; Malacalcyonacea; Plexauridae
Source: the annotation of a GenBank genome assembly